UGGGAAUCGUGCACAGUGCACACGGAUGCCGGGAAAAAAUAAAGAAACUCAGGCUGCUGUUAAGGUCUGGGCACAUGGAGGAAUGCAGGCGAGGAGAGGUGGAUACAAACAGGAUUGAGGAAACAGAGAUACAUAAACAAUGAAGAGCACAGGGAUAGAUAAGGCCUGCAUGGUGCUUCCAGUGGGGUUGUUAUGAAUAAAGAUACAUCUUGAUUUGGACUUCCACUGUGCUACUUCAAUGAAUAACUUAUUAAAAAAGAAAGAUAGACAGGCAACAGCAAGCAUUAUCUGCAUGAGUGAAGAAAAGGAAAUUAAAACUUUUUUCUAUAGCAUGA
Long non-coding RNA from Gymnodraco acuticeps, 335 nucleotides. RefSeq lists it as uncharacterized. The transcript is spliced from 2 exons. The record is from RefSeq and is a predicted model, not a curated record. Lineage: Eukaryota; Metazoa; Chordata; Actinopteri; Perciformes; Bathydraconidae.